Molecule: long non-coding RNA, 5011 nt
Organism: Benincasa hispida (wax gourd)
Lineage: Eukaryota; Viridiplantae; Streptophyta; Magnoliopsida; Cucurbitales; Cucurbitaceae
Source: RefSeq, a predicted model, not a curated record
UACCAGAGGACGGUGAGAAAAGUCAAGAGACAUGGAAAGUGCCUACUAAAACAGGUUGUGAACAAGAAUGCAUGUAUUCCAAACAAGAUCAAUGAGAUGAUUAGAAAGCUUAGAGGCCACUUUUGUCAAAGUAUGAUCAAUUUGAAGAUUAGAAAGCUUAUUAACAACUCAAAAAAAAAAAAAAAAAAAUCUUUUCUAUCAAGCUUAUUAACCACUCAAGCUUCAUCCUCUUUCUACUUUUGUAUCACCUCAUCUUAAGGGUAUUCAAAUAACCCGACAAACCAAACAACCUAGACUAUCCAACCUAAGUUGUAAGGGUUGGGUUGGAUUAGUUUUCUGUUUUGGAUUAGGUUGGGUCUCGGGUUUGAAUAAAUUUUUUUUCGAGUUAACCCAACCCAACCCAACCCAACCCAAAAUAUAUAUAUAUUAGUAAAAAAAAAAAAUAUAUUUCUUUUAGAAUUGAGGAAUUUGUGAAUUUUUAAUGUUAUUCUUUUAGGAAUGUAUGUCUUUGUUUAAAGUUUGUAAUAGAUAUCGUGGAUAUUUAGUAUUUAACAUUUAAGUUUACGAGAUUUUGGUUAUUAGACAUUUAUUGUAGAUAAAUUUAAAUACUUUAAAUUAAUAAGGAAAAAAAAAUAAUAAACCGAAACUCAACCCAACCUAUAUUUUGAGGGUUGAGUUGAGUUGGGUUAGAAACCCUGUUCGAGUCUUUUGGGUUGCCAAUCCGACCAACCCAAAUUUUCAAGUUGGUCCAAAAAAUCCCCACAACGCAACCCAACACAACCUAUUUACACCCCUACCUCAGCUCAAGUGUGAAGUUACUCAAGUUUACUCUGUGCGAAUCGAUCAGGUGAAUUUUCACCAAGGCAUCUUUAUUGUUGAAUGAUUGUUCCAAUGGCUGAGGCCAAUUGGAUAAAAAUUGAGAUCACGACUUCUUUCCUCAAUAUUUACUCUACAAGUUUUUUCCUCAAUAUUUACUCUACUUCCUCUAAAUCUUUACAUUGAGAAGACCUUUUAAGUUCUUAGGUUCCACUUAAAUCUUCAUCCUUGUUUUCGUUGGGUAAGAAAACAGAAAAGGAAAGAAAGCAAAAAGCUCUCAAAUUGAAAAUGUAAAAUAUGGACCCUAUAAUGCAAUUUCGAGUUCAGAGUAAAUAAGAAGGAUACUUCUCUCUUCAUCUUUGUGGGGUCGUUUUUGCAGGAGUUAAUGAAAGAGAAGGGGAAGAAUUCUGUUUCUGAAGGCCAAUUUCCCAUCAACAGGAAUAGGUAACGUAGCAAAGAUUGUAGUUAUAAUCUCUUUAUUACUAGAACUUCUUCCUUGGAAAGAGAACUAGAUAAACUGGAGGAGCACUCGGAAGUCCACUGUGAUUAACCAAAGAAAGAACAAUGAAAAAAAAAGGUGGAAAGUAAAAGACAUAAAAUAAGGCAGAAAAAUAAGGAAGAAUGAAAAGGAGAAGGGGGAAGCAGAAGAGGAGAAGGAAAAUAAAGGACAGAUAAAAGGGUUCCACGAUGAAAGAGUAUUAGGUGCAAAAGAUAGGGAGCGAGAUAUGGUAAGAUGAAAUUUUUUGGAAGAUGAAUAUUUAUAAUUCAUUAUGUGAAUUGUUUGAUGCAUUUGUACUUUUUUUUUCUUCACGUGUUAUUUCACAUGUAGGAGGGGUUCUUUCUUCCCUCAUGAGGGUCUAGGAGAAACCAAAUUUUUAUUGAGAAGAAAAUGAAAGAAUUACAAGGAUACAAGGGAAAAAAAAUAGCCCCUUGAAAAGAGGGUGCACAAGAACAAACUAAAGAAACUGGCUCCAUUCCAGCCAAGAAUAAGCCUAAAUCACAAGUACAAAAAGUUCUUGUGACAGACACAAAGAGAGGCAUUAAACCUAGCUGACUCCCAAACCUUGCCACACGACCUCUUAACCUGUGUAAAGAUUCUGUUAUUACACUCAUGCCAAAUACCCCAAAUGAUAGCAAAGAAUCUGGGUGCACAAGACUUUGCCCUUGUGCAGGAAGGCCAACAAAAAAGCAACUCAUCCAAUGGUAAAGCAGCUUCUAUUCCAAACUCAACAAAGCCCCAAAAGAGUUCAGUCAAGAUACAAAAAACGGGUAGGAAGAAGAGAGGGAAACAAAAGUAGAAAGAAGGGAAAAGAACGAAAAAGAAAUGAAGAAGCAUAGAUAAAAGAAAGACGUAUAAAUAAGUAGAAGAGAAAAAAGUGGGAAAAAAGGGAGCAAUAAAGAAGAGAGAGAAAAGAGGGAGGAGAACGGCUUUAGUAAAAGAGAGAAAAUUGGUUUGAUACUUUUGUUGUAGUUGAUGUGUGGACUCGUUUUUUUUUUUUUGGUAUGUCCUCAUUUUUUUAAUCAUUUUUCUCACUAGAAGUUUGGAGUCUCGGUUUCUUACUGAAAAGAGAGAACGAGGGAAAGAAAAAAAAGGAUGACAGUGACAAUUUGUAUAUUUUCAAAAACAAAAAUUGUGGAAUUAUUCAAUGAGCUGAAAAAAAAUUCUCCUGUAAAAAUAUCUUUGGUUUAGGGCAUGAUUUGAAGUGAUUUUGAAAAGGUUACAAUAACUUCUUUUCAUGUUUCCUCCGAAACAUGCCUUUAAUUAUUCAAACUUAAUUUGAUGGUAUGUAAACUGUGUUUAAAAGUGUAAAACCGAACAUUCAAAUAAUUUUGAAGGGAGUGAUUUUGAAUAUGAAAAAAGUGAUUUUUAACCUUUUUAAAAUUACUUCGAACGAUGCCCUUAGUUAUCAAGUCUUACAAAUUCUGAAAUGUUGCCGCUUUUUGUGGGCUGAAGUUUAUGCAUGUAUGGACCGUAUGGUUUUGUACAAAAUUGUGGAUUGAAAUGCUGCUCCAAUCCAAUAAAGUUUUGGUUUUGUACAACAAAAUUGUUUCGCAGUUUCUGGAGGCAAAGGAACAGCUUGUUUCAAGGUAGCUGCUGAAGUUGCAAUGUCUGAACCGUUUGUUAUGGGAGGACUAAAUUGUGUGCCAAGUUUUUGCUCUCGGCAGUUUGUUUUGACUUAUGUGGGAGCUCAAAAGAAAGCUGCUGUUGGGGGUUUAAGAGUUUGAAAUUUUCAAUUGUUGACAUCAUAAUGUGCUGGCCUAGUCUUUGUUAAGUUUUCUGCACAAUCAAGUGUUAGCAUGGCUUGCUAUGGUCAGUGCUGUAAGAUUUUUAUAUAGUUCUGUUGGUACUUCAUGUGUGUAAUUUGUUUGAUACUUCUCUGUGAUUUUUCAUUUAAUUGAUGAAAAAAAUUGUUUCCUUUUCUUCUGUAAAAAAGAAAUCCAAUCUUUGCCAAUAAAAAAGCCUUUAAAACUGCCAUUAAACAUAUCCUUAUCAGUAUGGCUGAGAACUUCACCAAACAGAAAGAAUAGAAGCAGCGGUCAUGUUUCACCUCGAUGAAGCCUUUAGAAGGACAAAUCCACCAUGAAGGAAUAUCGACAAUUUAUUACCUUACCAUAGAAAGUUUGUACUUUUUCAAAAUCCUGGAUCCUAUACAAAAUACCUAAAUCAAAAUGUCACUAAACUGGAUUUUUUUAAAAACUUUUGAAAUGCCACUUUAGACAACACAUCAUUGCCGAUCAAUACCUUCACGAGGGAGUUGAAGCAUUGCUCGCCUAUACCCAAGGGAUUCCCAUGCAGUCCCACUGGACUAGAGAAACAUCAACGAUUUUCUUGGUAUUAAGCUCACCUGAAGAUGUGACUUGGUGCAAACUUGGAACCUCUAAGCUGGGAUGACCUAUAGAGCAAGCCCUUGCCAGCGGGGCUGCCCCCUUGGGGACCACUAAUCAUCUCAGUAAUUUGAAAAUGAGUGGAUGGCAACCAGCUUUCAGUUUGAACAUUGAACUGAAAAUGACACUUACGAUCAAGUAGACACGUAGGUUUUGACUAGGAGAUCAAGGAUUUUUUCUCGUCUGUUCUGUACUAUAUUCAGAAAUUUUGAGCUCAACGAGCAAGAGGUUAUUCAAUGUCUAGCCAAAGUUUAAACAUGGAUUUGCUAACUUCUAAAAGAAAAUUUUGGACUCCUAUAAACAAGAAAUUAUUCAAUGUCUAGCCAAACUUUGAAUAAGCUACAAAUCCAACAAUAAAACUUUUAGAACUCAAGGAUACAGUUGUACAAUCUAUAGAGCAGAUCUUGUUCAAGUGAGGUCUUAAAUGCAACAAUGAAAUGAGAACAAAGUCCAUGAAUUUAAAUACAACAAAAAUGAAGGCCAGGAAUAUAAGGGACAAUUUUCAUUACAUUACAACAUACAACAUAUAAUUCAACAGGAAUGUCAUUUGGAAUUCAAUUUUUGACGGAAUGAGGUAUAUAAAUUAAAGCAAUUUAUGAACCAUGUCCAAACCAGACAAAAGCUUAAAUAUUCAAAGAAAGCAAAUGAAGAGAAAAAAAGGGAAAAUUGCAAAAACCACCCCUAAACUAUAUGGUUAGUUACAAUCACACCCCUAACCUUCAAUUUGAUCAAUUAUAUCCUCGUGGUUGCUUAAUGGUAGAAAUCAGCCCCUUUUAUCAAAUUAACUUUUGGUUAUUUGUGGUGUCAUCUCCUUCAAUGGUUUGCAAACCCACUUGAAUUUUGAUGUUAGUUUUUUCCUCCACCACAAUGCAGGUACUACUAAUACCAAUAGUAACAGUUUGACAUUUCUAGAUAGUACAGUUAAUGGAAGAAGGAAGAUUUAAAGAGGAAGUUGCAGAGGUUCAGGCACGGUGGAUUUCAGAGGGAUUCAAUCUAACACAUGGCCGUUCACGGCAAAAGAUGUCGUGUCACAAGGCAGUCUGAGACAAAGCAAUGCUUCAAACCAUUUAGCUAAAAAGCUAUGGCGAACCCUCAAAACCCACCAAGCCAACAGCACAGCCUUGAGGAUUUAGAGAGAGAGAAUAGAUAGGAAAUCAUGGUGGGUUCAAAUCAAUCCCAACGUUUUGUAGAGGCUAUAAUGAAUUAAUGGUUACCGAAUGAAAUCUUUGGCUUUUGAUGAAGAGGGAGGAGAGAGGAUGAUGAAGAAGGAGAAGGAAACAAGAAAAAAUUCAACAAAAAAAAAAAAUAA